RNAcentral lists this ribosomal RNA (2184 nucleotides) under Triticum aestivum (bread wheat). RNAcentral describes it as "partial small subunit ribosomal RNA". The record is from RNAcentral. Lineage: Eukaryota; Viridiplantae; Streptophyta; Magnoliopsida; Poales; Poaceae.
AUGAGGGGGGCGGCGCUGGUGGCACUCGCGGCGGCGCUGGGCAACAUGCUGCAGGGGUGGGACAACGCCACCAUCGCCGGCUCGCUGCUCUACAUCAAGCGCGACUUCGGCCUGCACGGCCAGCCCGCCCUCCAGGGCCUCGUGGUCGCCACCUCGCUCAUCGGCGCCACCCUCAUCACCACCUUCUCCGGCCCGCUCUCUGACCGCGUUGGCCGCCGCCCCAUGCUCGUUGCCUCCUCCCUCCUCUACGCGCUCGCGGGGCUGCUAAUGCUCUGGUCCCCCACCGUCGGCGUGCUCCUCCUCGCCCGCCUCGUCGAUGGCUUCGCGGUCGGCCUCGCCGUCACGCUCGUCCCCGUCUACAUCUCGGAGACCGCGCCGCCCGAGGUCCGUGGGCUGCUCAGCACGCUCCCGCAGCUCACCGGGUCGACCGGCAUGUUUCUCGCCUAUUGCAUGGUGUUCGCCAUGACGCUCGCGCCCAGCCCCAAUUGGCGGGUCAUGAUGGGGGUGCUUGUCUUGCCAUCGCUUGUCUACGUCGCUGUGGCCGUGCUUUUCCUGCCGGAGUCGCCGCGCUGGCUGGUGAGCAAGGGAAGGAUGAAGGAGGCCCGGACCGUGCUGCGGAUGCUCAGGGGCCGCGAGGACGUCGACGGCGAGAUGGCGCUCCUCGCCGAGGGCCUCGGCGCCGGUGGCGACACCGCCAUCGAGGAGUACAUCGUCGGCCCGGCGCCCGAAGAAGACGAUCAGGCUGACCAGGCCGGUGCCGCCAUCAGGCUAUACGGGCCAGAGCGCGGGAUGUCGUGGGUCGCGCAGCCGGUGCCACUGGGCGGCCAGGGCAGCAUGCUCUCCACGGGCAUGUCGCGGCAGGGCAGCUUGCUCGGCAGCAUCGCCGGGCUGUCGCGGAUGGGCAGCAUGCUUGACCAUCUCCAAGAUCCCGUAGUCGCCCUCCUUGGCGGCCUCCAUGACAUGAAGCCCGCCGCCGACGGCAACGGCAACACCCUCUUCACCAACUUCGGCAGCAUGCUCAGCGCCCACGGCGGCAUGGACUGGGACGAGGAGAACGCCGCGCCCAGCGAUGAUGACGACAAUAUUGCUGCCGGCGCCGGCGAAGACGACGUAGAAGACGGGGGCCUCAAGGCGCCACUGCUAGACAUGCGGGGGCAGAGCAGCAUGACCGGCAGCGGGAUCGGCAUGGGCCAGAGCCAGACGACGAGCACCAUGGGCAUCGGCGGCGGGUGGCAGCUGGCGUGGAAGUGGACGGAGGGCGUCGCGCCGGACGGCACGCGACAGAGCGCCGUCCAGAGGAUGUACCUGCACGAGGAGCCGGGCGGCGACGGCCAGCACGUGCACGCGGCGGCGCUGGUCAACCAGUCGGCACUCUACAGCACCACCAACGACAACCUGCAGCCGGACGAUGCGAUCACCCCGAUGGGCCCAGCGAUGGUUCAUCCGGCGUCGUCUCCGGCGGCAGAGAAGCCGCGGUGGCGGGACCUGCUGGAGCCGGGCGUCCGGCACGCGCUGGUGUGCGGCGUGGCAAUCCAGAUCCUGCAACAGUUCUCCGGCAUCAGCGGCAUCCUCUACUACACGCCGCAGAUUCUUGACCAGGCCGGCGUCAGCGUCCUCCUCUCCAACCUCGGCCUAACCUCCGACUCCGCCGCCAUCCUCAUCUCCGGCCUGACCACGCUCCUCAUGCUCCCCGCCAUCGCCGUCGCCAUGCGGCUCAUGGACGUGGCCGGCCGCCGGAGCCUCCUUCUCUGGACGAUCCCAGUGCUGAUUGUCUCCCUGGUGUCCCUCGUGACGGCGGAUGUGCUCCCCUUGGCGACCACCCUGCACGCCGCCGUGUCGACGACGAGCAUCAUCGUCUACAUCUGCACGUUCGUCAUGGGGUUCGGGCCCAUCCCCGGCAUCUUGUGCUCCGAGAUCUUUCCGACGAGGGUGCGCGGAAUGUGCAUCGCCAUCUGCUCCCUCGCCUUCUGGCUCAGCAACAUCGCCGUCACCUACAGCAUGCCGGUGAUGCUCGACUACUUGGGGCUCACCGGGGUCUUCUCCAUCUACGCCGCCGUGUGCUGUGUCGCGCUCGCCUUCGUCGCGCUUCGGGUGCCCGAGACCAAGGGCCUGCCGCUCGAGGUCAUCGCCGAGUUCUUCAACGUCGCCUCCAAGGGCAUGCCAAAGCUCGACCACGACGAAUGA